GUGUCAGCCGCCGCGGUAAUACGUAGGCAGCGAGCGUUGUUCGGAGUUACUGGGCGUAAAGAGUGCGUAGGCGGUUUCGUAAGUCUGGUGUGAAAUCUCCCGGCUUAACUGGGAGGGUGCGCCGGAAACUGCGGAGCUGGAGUGUGGGAGAGGCAAGCGGAAUUCCUGGUGUAGCGGUGAAAUGCGUAGAUAUCAGGAGGAACACCUGCGGUGUAGACGGCUUGCUGGACCACUACUGACGCUGAGGCACGAAAGCGUGGGGAGCAAACAGGAUUAGAUACCCCAGUAGUCC
Molecule: ribosomal RNA, 292 nt
Filed under: uncultured bacterium
Lineage: Bacteria
Description: partial 16S ribosomal RNA
Rfam family: Bacterial small subunit ribosomal RNA
Source: RNAcentral